GAUGAACGCUGGCGGCGUGCCUAAUACAUGCAAGUCGAGCGAACGGACGAGAAGCUUGCUUCUCUGAUGUUAGCGGCGGACGGGUGAGUAACACGUGGAUAACCUACCUAUAAGACUGGGAUAACUUCGGGAAACCGGAGCUAAUACCGGAUAAUAUUUUGAACCGCAUGGUUCAAAAGUGAAAGACGGUCUUGCUGUCACUUAUAGAUGGAUCCGCGCUGCAUUAGCUAGUUGGUAAGGUAACGGCUUACCAAGGCAACGAUGCAUAGCCGACCUGAGAGGGUGAUCGGCCACACUGGAACUGAGACACGGUCCAGACUCCUACGGGAGGCAGCAGUAGGGAAUCUUCCGCAAUGGGCGAAAGCCUGACGGAGCAACGCCGCGUGAGUGAUGAAGGUCUUCGGAUCGUAAAACUCUGUUAUUAGGGAAGAACAUAUGUGUAAGUAACUGUGCACAUCUUGACGGUACCUAAUCAGAAAGCCACGGCUAACUACGUGCCAGCAGCCGCGGUAAUACGUAGGUGGCAAGCGUUAUCCGGAAUUAUUGGGCGUAAAGCGCGCGUAGGCGGUUUUUUAAGUCUGAUGUGAAAGCCCACGGCUCAACCGUGGAGGGUCAUUGGAAACUGGAAAACUUGAGUGCAGAAGAGGAAAGUGGAAUUCCAUGUGUAGCGGUGAAAUGCGCAGAGAUAUGGAGGAACACCAGUGGCGAAGGCGACUUUCUGGUCUGUAACUGACGCUGAUGUGCGAAAGCGUGGGGAUCAAACAGGAUUAGAUACCCUGGUAGUCCACGCCGUAAACGAUGAGUGCUAAGUGUUAGGGGGUUUCCGCCCCUUAGUGCUGCAGCUAACGCAUUAAGCACUCCGCCUGGGGAGUACGACCGCAAGGUUGAAACUCAAAGGAAUUGACGGGGACCCGCACAAGCGGUGGAGCAUGUGGUUUAAUUCGAAGCAACGCGAAGAACCUUACCAAAUCUUGACAUCCUUUGACAACUCUAGAGAUAGAGCCUUCCCCUUCGGGGGACAAAGUGACAGGUGGUGCAUGGUUGUCGUCAGCUCGUGUCGUGAGAUGUUGGGUUAAGUCCCGCAACGAGCGCAACCCUUAAGCUUAGUUGCCAUCAUUAAGUUGGGCACUCUAAGUUGACUGCCGGUGACAAACCGGAGGAAGGUGGGGAUGACGUCAAAUCAUCAUGCCCCUUAUGAUUUGGGCUACACACGUGCUACAAUGGACAAUACAAAGGGCAGCGAAACCGCGAGGUCAAGCAAAUCCCAUAAAGUUGUUCUCAGUUCGGAUUGUAGUCUGCAACUCGACUACAUGAAGCUGGAAUCGCUAGCAAUCGUAGAUCAGCAUGCUACGGUGAAUACGUUCCCGGGUCU
RNAcentral lists this ribosomal RNA (1372 nucleotides) under uncultured bacterium. RNAcentral describes it as "bacterial SSU rRNA". It matches the Rfam family "Bacterial small subunit ribosomal RNA", at positions 28 to 1381 of the family's 1533-position model. The record is from RNAcentral.